UAAUAUAGGAAUUUUAUACUUCGUAUAUGUUUGGAAAUAUGGUCCAAGCGUUUCUACCAGGCAGCCGGAAACAGCCUGACUACGAGGGUUUACAUAAGCAUU
Molecule: non-coding RNA, 102 nt
Filed under: Clostridium sp.
Lineage: Bacteria; Bacillati; Bacillota; Clostridia; Eubacteriales; Clostridiaceae
Also listed under: 1 other name
Description: Guanine sequence
Rfam family: Purine riboswitch aptamer
About the family: Riboswitches are metabolite binding domains within certain messenger RNAs that serve as precision sensors for their corresponding targets. Allosteric rearrangement of mRNA structure is mediated by ligand binding, and this results in modulation of gene expression. A class of riboswitches that selectively recognises guanine and becomes saturated at concentrations as low as 5 nM.
Source: RNAcentral